AACCGAUAAAUCGCGUUUUAAACGCCCACACGAGUAAUCAAAUAUUAAUAUAAGAACAUUUAGUUAAUGUAAAUUCAUUGGUAUGUAAUUUUCUAGUGUAUACAUUUAUGUAUACAUAAGAUCACUGCAAUUAAAAAGGUAACGUAUGUAUUUAUAUAUACGUGAAAAAGUAAUUUAAAUUUUAUUUAAGUUACUCUCAAGAAAGAAUAAUAACCUUUUUU
RNAcentral lists this unclassified non-coding RNA (221 nucleotides) under uncultured bacterium. Its description in RNAcentral is "16S-23S ribosomal RNA intergenic spacer". The record is from RNAcentral.